CCAAGACGUGCGUGCAAGUGCGGGCGCCCGCGGGCGAGCAGCGUGACGCAGCGACGGCCCGCCCGGGCUUCCGGGGCAUCACCCCGACGGCGCGGUCGCGGCCCGCCGUGGGCGCGACGCCUGGCGGAGAAUCAGGGUUCGACUCCGGAGAGCGGGCCUGCGAGACGGCCCGCACAUCCAAGGACGGCAGCAGGCGCGGAACUUGCCCAAUGCGACCGCGAGGCAGCGACGGGGAGCGCAGAGAGCGAGGCGGGCCCACACGCCCCGCCGCGGAGCCGAGGGCAAGGUCUGGUGCCAGCAGCCGCGGUAAUUCCAGCUCGGCGAGCGUCGCGUGGCGCUGCUGCAGUUAAAACGCCCGUAGUUGGCCCCCCGCCGCCGCGAGGAAGAGGGAGCGCUCGAGGCAGGCCCGCUGGACCCGCCGCGCGGGACGGCGCUGCGGGCAAGGCAAGCCGCGGCAGCCCCGAGGAGAGCGGGCGGGGGCACCGGUACCGGCCGGGGACGGGUGAAACAGGAUGAUCCCGCCGAGACCGCCGGCCGCGAAGGCGUCUGCCAAGACCGCCUCUGUCAAUCAAGGGCGAAGGUCGGGGGCUAGAAGGCGAUCAGACACCACCGUAUUCCCGACCGUAAACGGUGCCGCCCCGCGGCCGGCGCGCGUGUCCCGCCGGCCGCCCAGGGAAACCGGGAGGCUCCGGGCUCUGGGGGGAGUAUGGUCGCAAGGCUGAAACUUGAAGGCAUUGACGGAGGGGUACCACCAGACGUGGAGUCUGCGGCUCAAUCUGACCCAACGCGCGCACCUCACCAGGCCCGGACGCGCGGAGGACCGACAGCCGGGCGCGCUUUCGCGAUCGCGCGGGCGGUGGUGCAUGGCCGCUCCCAGCCCGUGGCGCGAGCCGUCUGCUCCAUUGCGACAACGAGC
Molecule: ribosomal RNA, 916 nt
Filed under: Giardia microti
Lineage: Eukaryota; Fornicata; Diplomonadida; Hexamitidae
Description: SSU rRNA
Rfam family: Eukaryotic small subunit ribosomal RNA
Source: RNAcentral